GGACAGCAUCCAGCAAAGAUGAGGAUGUCUGGGCACGCCAAGUAACGGGGUCCUAGGUGGACCACUCCUGCCGGCCCAAGAGGAGACCAGGGGGAGUGCCAGGGUCAGCAGCAUGGCCCUUGCUGCCCCUCCCCCUGUGCACUGCCAUGCAUUGCAGGGACUUUUGUACCUGGCCAAGGCAUUUCCCCCGACAGGUGACAGGGUUGGUCAGUCCUCACUCUCCCAUACAUCCCUCUGCUUGGGAGCAUCAGUGAAUAGAGAAGGGCUUGAUGGUGCUUAGGGGACUAUUUUUUUACUUUCAAUCCAGAAGAGCUAGUGUGGGCUUCAUGCCAUCAUGUCCUGAGUGUGUGUGACAAAUGAGGGUCUGACUCUCGAAUCUCCUCAGACCAAGACUCUAUCUUCUAUUUGCACACCCAUAGCAGCUGUUUUCUCCAAGCUCAAAUGUGCCCACGGGGGUCUGAUCAGGUGAGGUGAUCAUUGGCAAGUGACCCAGCCGUUGCCAGCUCUCCCACCCCGGCUGCUGCUGCUAGCCACGAGGACUGUGGCGUCCAGGAGCCCAUCCCCCAACCUGGACCUAUCCUAGCCUGUUGUCUGCUUGGGCACCAUUACUAGGUAGGCAGGCAAGGCAGUGACCCACACCAAAGCCAGCCCUACAGCUGAGCAUGCCCCAGCACCCAAGCAGCGGGUAUGAUCCAAUUCCCUAACCGCACCACGUCUGGAGUCUGUCCUGUGAGCUCACUGUGGAAAGGAGGUUACAAGCCCAGGUCACUGUGCCACUCCAUAGUCAGUGGCGACCAGCGUGCACCCCUAAUCCCCUUAGUCACUUAAGAAAACCUUCAAAGGCAAAUAAAUGACCUAAUUGGAAAACACAAAAGCCGGCCUUCCUCCCAAGGAUUCCCUAAGAAUCUGUGGGCGCUCUGACUGAGUAGGUUGGGGUCAGUGCAGACAGCUGCAGACUGUUCUAAAGUUCCGUUCUUAUCUCUGAUGGCACACCUCUCGUGUUCAGUUCUAUUACCCAAAAAACAAAGACCAAAGAAGGCCAAUCUCUCAUUUGACCGUAUUUUUAAUCUGCCUGUUUUGACACAUGCCGUCUGUAGUAACCGCUCGCUGUGAGGCCCCAUCUUGACAGUCCAAGUGAUCGUGACCAGUGAUUAGCGUCCCGUGUUCUAAUGCUCUUCUAAGAAACUGAGACAGUGUGAAUUAUUGCUCAGCAAUAAUCAUGUCACCAGGAGUUAGCAGCACGCCUCAUCUCCUGAUAGCAUUAUGAUGUUUCGUGUUUUGUUUACCGUGUGUUACAUGUAAGGUUUCAUUUGGUAUUUAUUUGUGUUUUGAGGUCUUGCGAUGUUUCUGUUCUGCUGCUAAUAAUAAAGUUUGUAAGACUGUAGAAUGCAGAAUUUUGUAAUGCUCAAGUGUCUAUUAGAGGAAAAUAAAGCUGAUUCAAGAGUCCGGC
This 1450-nucleotide long non-coding RNA is filed under the name Mus musculus (house mouse). Its description in RNAcentral is "long non-coding RNA chr12:111265705-111267155". The record is from RNAcentral. Lineage: Eukaryota; Metazoa; Chordata; Mammalia; Rodentia; Muridae.